Zerene cesonia (dogface butterfly) is the source of this 357-nucleotide long non-coding RNA. RefSeq lists it as uncharacterized. The record is from RefSeq and is a predicted model, not a curated record. NCBI's taxonomy places the organism in Eukaryota, Metazoa, Arthropoda, Insecta, Lepidoptera, Pieridae. The transcript has 2 exons.
AAACGAAACGCACACUGCCAUUUUGAAUGUUAUUUUAUCAGAAAUGACAGAUUUAUUGAUUUUUCUAUCCCUUGAAAGUACGAAGCAAGUUUAUGUGAAUCGUGAAAGUUUUCAGUGUUUACCUUCGUUGUGGGAGAGAAGUCCCUACGAGCUGUUUAGUGUAGUCUGACAGGCGUCAGGCAUUAUGGAAGCCCCAUCUGCUGAAGCUGGCGACCUUUUUGGUCGCCUUUGGCGACCUAAAGGCUGACGCUUGCGUCUUCCGCAGCACCACAAAUGUCAGAAUACCUAUUGUAGUCUCACCUUUAAACAUGAAUUAUUAACUGCUUUAGUUGAGAUUAAUAAAGUAUUAUCACCAAA